This 258-nucleotide ribosomal RNA is filed under the name uncultured bacterium. RNAcentral describes it as "partial 16S ribosomal RNA". It matches the Rfam family "Bacterial small subunit ribosomal RNA", at positions 75 to 334 of the family's 1533-position model. The record is from RNAcentral.
CUUGCUUUCUUUGCUGGCGACCGGCGCACGGGUGAGUAACACGUAUCCAACCUGCCCUUUACUCGGGGAUAGUCUUUCGAAAGAAAGAUUAAUACCCGAUAGCAUAAUGAUUCCGCAUGGUUUCAUUAUUAAAGGAUUCCGGUAAAGGAUGGGGAUGCGUUCCAUUAGGUUGUUGGUGGGGUAACGGCCCACCAAGCCUUCGAUGGAUAGGGGUUCUGAGAGGAAGGUCCCCCACAUUGGAACUGAGACACGGUCCAA